AAGCUUGGACAGUAGUUCUUUAUUAAUUAACUAUCAUAUCAUGAUGUUGUCUACAUUUCUGCUGCUUUAACAGAUUUUGUUUGAUCUUUGUUAUCCAGUGAUGUUGGAUGCAUAUUCUCAUUCAUUUCUUGCACAUCAUGGGUGACCAAUUGGUGGCAUAGAUUUUUACUCAUUUUCUUUGACUUGGUUUGAGAAAGAAUUCACAAGGGGUCUCCUCAUCAGUAGUAUAUUGAGGUAUCUCUCAGUUGAUUAAAUCUUGAGUUGUCCUCUUGUGAUUGUCCAGGCGUAGAAAUCAAUAUCAUUAGGUGUAAUUUAUUAGAUUUACAUAUUACUGUAAAUCAGCAUUGCACUACCAUAAUAUGUUACUUUGUUUCGCUUAGUAAUUGCAGAAUCUUAUAUGUGUGCUAAUAGGAGUUUUACAACAUUUCAUAAUAACUGCAGCAUUGCUUUAAUUGUGUUUGUUUUACUACCGCUAUAUGUUCAUUAUACAUCAUCCUUAAGCUAUUAGGACAUUAUACAUCAUCUUGAAGCCUUAUCAUUUCUUUUUUUCAAAUCUUUGAAGUGG
RNAcentral lists this unclassified non-coding RNA (565 nucleotides) under Hevea brasiliensis (rubber tree). Lineage: Eukaryota; Viridiplantae; Streptophyta; Magnoliopsida; Malpighiales; Euphorbiaceae. The record is from RNAcentral.